RNAcentral lists this ribosomal RNA (34 nucleotides) under Triticum aestivum (bread wheat). Its description in RNAcentral is "25S ribosomal RNA from Triticum aestivum (PDB 2WWB, chain E)". Lineage: Eukaryota; Viridiplantae; Streptophyta; Magnoliopsida; Poales; Poaceae. The record is from RNAcentral. RNAcentral also lists the same sequence under 1 other name.
UGAAAAGAACUUUGAAAAGAGAGUGAAAAAGUAC